RNAcentral lists this transfer RNA (71 nucleotides) under Ovis aries (sheep). It matches the Rfam family "tRNA". From Rfam's summary of the family: Transfer RNA (tRNA) molecules are approximately 80 nucleotides in length. Their secondary structure includes four short double-helical elements and three loops (D, anti-codon, and T loops). The record is from Rfam by way of RNAcentral. Lineage: Eukaryota; Metazoa; Chordata; Mammalia; Artiodactyla; Bovidae.
UCCCAAGUGGCUCAGUGGUAGAGAAUCUGCCUGCAAUGCAGAAGACCUGGGUUCGAUCCCUGGGUUGGGAA